UAAAUGAAAUUCACUUCAAUAUAAAACAGUUAAAAACAUACUAUCUAUAGUACUGCUUCUGUCUUCAAAGAGCUUUUAAACAGUCACACCACGACAACUGUUGCUAAUAACCCACCUGCCCUUCUCCAUCCUGGUUGUCUUGUAUCAUCAAUCAAGCAAUAGCCAGUCUCCCCUCACUGCAUAAAGUGGAUUAAACAAUACACACGAAUUCAAAGGAAGUGGACUUCACCUCUUGUUCUCCUCUUUCUCCAGCAGCAGACUGCUUGACAAACACUGUGUCAGGCGCUCCUCGGCAGAAGCUCCUCGCAUCAGAUCCUCUGUGCUGGGAAUCCUUCCCUCUCGACCACGCUCUGUGCUCCUCUUCCAGUUACCGUCCAUGUGAAGCAAUGGUAUGGGAAAAUUGUUUGCAGAAGCGUGAAAAGUCUUUAUUCCCAAACUAAACUGUACCAGAAAGUCUUGUGAGGUGCUGAUCGCACUGCACCAUGGUCUAACUACCUGAUGUAACAGGAAGCCGGGGGGGUGUCCAGUCUCUCAGCUUGUGGUUGACACACAAGGCGAUGAGAUCAUCCCAUGGGAUCUCCAUGAUGGAGGGGCCUGCCCCAUGGACUGCGGAGGGGCUCUUGCUCUUCCACCUACGAAAUCAUCUGAUCCCCUUUGCCGCUGAGAGAGUUGAAAAGCGAAAGCGUCUGAAUCCCACCAGCAUCGCUGCACAUGUCAUCCACCGAGCCAUCAUCUCCCAUGAACUUUACUUUCAACCAAUUUGCCAGAAUUCUAUAGAUUUAAAAAAAAACACUUGAAGAAUCCAAUUCUAAAUUUGAAUUAUAACGACUUCCAGGAAAAGAAGAAAGAGAAAUAUCACACAGAUCUAGGUCCAAAGUUACCAAAUCUCACUAUGAAGUUGACCUGCACAAAACAGGCUGUCAUUUUAAAAUGGAGCAAUGAUCUUUACUUGUUCUUCCCCUCCCCCCAGAUAGGGUCUCACCGUCACCCAGGGUACAGUGCAGUGAUACAAACUCGGCUCACUGUAGCAAGCAAACCUCCUGCCUCAGCCUCCUCAGUAGCCGGGACUACAGGUACGGACCACCAUCCUCUGCUAAGUUUUGUUAGCACAACAUAGAUGUUGCUCACGCUGGCUUCAAACUCCUGGGCUCAAGCAAUCCUUCCACAGCCUCCCCAGUUGCUGAGAUUACAGCUGUGAGCCACUACACCUGGCUUCUACUUGUUUUUAAUUGAGCAGGAGGGAGCACUCAUAGAACUGGCUCAUUCUAAUGUGACUUAAGAUUCUGAGGCAUUAAGAUUUUCAGCAAGAGAAAACAUCCCUAGAGUUUGAAAUACAUAUUUUUUUAUAGAUCGAAUUUCUCAUAUCUGAGACCUUAAGAAUUCC
Non-coding RNA from Saimiri boliviensis boliviensis (Bolivian squirrel monkey), 1384 nucleotides. Lineage: Eukaryota; Metazoa; Chordata; Mammalia; Primates; Cebidae. The record is from RefSeq and is a predicted model, not a curated record.